AGUUGGUAGUCGGUUAUUUAUUGUAUAGUUUGCAAUUGAAAUUGAUUUUGGCAGUUAACCAAAGGGGAAUGAAAACGCAAGGAGCAUAGUAACGAUGGGGAUAACAACAAUUUUUUUUUUAGAACAACAAAUUAAUUUUUUUUUAGAACAAUAAGUCAAUUUAUUUUUUUUACUAAAUAAAUCAAAGUUUUAUGCAACCUAAAAAUAAGGAAUCUCCUAAAUAGAUACACACACCAGAUAAUAUAGAAAACUAUUAUUAGCCUUUGAUUAAAAUAAUAGACGGUUAAGAUUUGGUGUCAAAUUAAAGUUUGACACCUGGUGUC
RNAcentral lists this long non-coding RNA (323 nucleotides) under Trifolium pratense (red clover). RNAcentral's name for it is "long non-coding RNA (TPRA_LNC009081)". The record is from RNAcentral. Lineage: Eukaryota; Viridiplantae; Streptophyta; Magnoliopsida; Fabales; Fabaceae.